This 336-nucleotide unclassified non-coding RNA is filed under the name soil metagenome. RNAcentral describes it as "partial contains 5.8S ribosomal RNA, internal transcribed spacer 2, and large subunit ribosomal RNA". The stretch from base 1 to 120 matches the Rfam family "5.8S ribosomal RNA", at positions 35 to 154 of the family's 154-position model. The record is from RNAcentral.
GAUGAAGAACGCAGCGAAAUGCGAUACGUAAUGUGAAUUGCAGAAUUCAGUGAAUCAUCGAGUCUUUGAACGCACAUUGCGCCCCCUGGUAUUCCGGCGGGCAUGCCUGUUCGAGCGUCAUUUCAACCAUCAAGCCCCCGGCUUGUGUUGGGGACCUGCGGCUGCCGCAGGCCCUGAAAACCAGUGGCGGGCUCGCUGUCACACCGAGCGUAGUAGAUUUUCAUCUCGCUCAGGGCGUGCUGCGGGUUCCGGCCGUAAAAAGCCUUAUUUACCCAAGGUUGACCUCGGAUCAGGUAGGAAGACCCGCUGAACUUAAGCAUAUCAAUAAGCGGAGGA